Molecule: long non-coding RNA, 256 nt
Filed under: Elaeis guineensis (African oil palm)
Lineage: Eukaryota; Viridiplantae; Streptophyta; Magnoliopsida; Arecales; Arecaceae
Description: long non-coding RNA (EGUI_LNC033958)
Source: RNAcentral
GCUGGGAUUAUUUUAUACCCAACAGAUUGAAAAUUCCAUAGCACAUGCCGUAUCAGCAAAAUAAAAAUUUUAAUUUGUUAUGUUAUGUCAUCAUUUUUAUGCCAUAUCAUUUACGUUAGCCAUCUCGGCUAAUGCUACAUCACUCUGUUUAGGCAUUUUUGUUAUAUAAGUAUUUAUUUUCGAUAUGUAAGUAUCAGUUAUUGCCAAUUGAAAUUGUGGAUAAGAGAAAAUGGUCGGAAUCCGAGGUAAAGGUCAC